CGUACAGGUCUCCGUAGGUGAACCUGCGGAGGGAUCAUUACACAAAUAUGAAGGCGGGCUGGAACCUCUCGGGGUUACAGCCUUGCUGAAUUAUUCACCCUUGUCUUUUGCGUACUUCUUGUUUCCUUGGUGGGUUCGCCCACCACUAGGACAAACAUAAACCUUUUGUAAUUGCAAUCAGCGUCAGUAACAAAUUAAUAAUUACAACUUUCAACAACGGAUCUCUUGGUUCUGGCAUCGAUGAAGAACGCAGCGAAAUGCGAUAAGUAGUGUGAAUUGCAGAAUUCAGUGAAUCAUCGAAUCUUUGAACGCACAUUGCGCCCUUUGGUAUUCCAAAGGGCAUGCCUGUUCGAGCGUCAUUUGUACCCUCAAGCUUUGCUUGGUGUUGGGCGUCUUGUCUCUAGCUUUGCUGGAGACUCGCCUUAAAGUAAUUGGCAGCCGGCCUACUGGUUUCGGAGCGCAGCACAAGUCGCACUCUCUAUCAGCAAAGGUCUAGCAUCCAUUAAGCCUUUUUUUCAACUUUCGACCUCGGAUCAGGUAGGGAUACCCGCUGAACUUAAGCAUAUC
RNAcentral lists this ribosomal RNA (567 nucleotides) under uncultured fungus. RNAcentral describes it as "eukaryotic LSU rRNA". The stretch from base 206 to 359 matches the Rfam family "5.8S ribosomal RNA". Lineage: Eukaryota; Fungi. The record is from RNAcentral.